Molecule: ribosomal RNA, 450 nt
Filed under: uncultured bacterium
Lineage: Bacteria
Description: bacterial SSU rRNA
Rfam family: Bacterial small subunit ribosomal RNA
Source: RNAcentral
UACGGAAGGCAGCAGGGGGAAUAUUGCACAAUGGGCGCAAGCCUGAUGCAGCCAUGCCGCGUGUAUGAAAAAGGCCUUCGGGUUGUAAAGUACUUUCAGUCGUGAGGAAGGUGUUAAGGUUAAUAACCUUAGCAAUUGACGUUAGCGACAGAAGAAGCACCGGCUAACUCCGUGCCAGCAGCCGCGGUAAUACGGAGGGUGCGAGCGUUAAUCGGAAUUACUGGGCGUAAAGGGCACGCAGGCGGUUAAUUAAGUUGGAUGUGAAAUCCCCGGGCUUAACCUGGGAAUGGCAUUCAAGACUGGUUAGCUAGAGUCUUGUAGAGGGGGUAGAAUUCCAUGUGUAGCGGUGAAAUGCGUAGAGAUGUGGAGGAAUACCGGUGGCGAAGGCGGCCCCUGGACAAAGACUGACGCUCAUGUGCGAAAGCGUGGGGAGCAAACAGGGAUUUAGAU